UUAUCAGUGUAUACUUUUUAAAAUAAAUAUGUCAAAGUAGUCAUGGAAGAACAACUGAUCUUUGUUGGGUCUCUCUAUACUUCAUUCGUAGUUUAUUUUGGAUGACACGGACUGGAAUCCAUCUCAGUCUUUUCAGUAUCUAAUCCCUUCCCUCUUGGGUGGUCCUGACCAACUGCUAGACCCUAAAGAAAUAAGAAGAUCUAUGUUUCAAUCCUGGCUCUGCCCCUAACUAGUUGUGUGCCUUUCUGGACUUCAGAGGUCUAUUUCCUUUCAUUUGACCUAGACCUGCUAGGUCUAGAAAGAUCUAGAAAGAACCAGACAGCUUGUGAUUUCUCUACUGGGACAGUGAUCUCUCUCUUCUCCUGUCUCUAGAAAGGGACUUGCUCUGGCUCUGGGAGAAGCAUCUCCGUCUUGGAGAUGUGCAUGGAGAUGAAGGACUCCUCCCGUAAUCAUCUGGAGGGCAACGACCCCAAGAAGAAGGGCUUCUCCAAAUCCUUUACCUGUGGGACACAUUUCCAGAGAGGAGAGAGUGUUUUCCAAACCUAUUUGCCUGUAGCCCUUUUCCUGUGGAGCUGGGUUGCUGAGGACUGGUUUUACGGGCGCUGGUGUCUCCUCUGUGGUCAUCCUCACUUGAUUCUCACGCGGUGGGGUUGCUCCCAUCUCAGGGAUGAGGACACUUAUGCUCAUCUAUAGGUUUUCUAGGUUUUGCUUGUAAAUCAAGAAGAGGCAGUAGAUACAGUCAUGGAAAAAGGCAGAAGAAAACAGACAAAUCAGUUUUCAGUAACCAUGGGCUCUGAUCCUUUCUUGACCAUGAAAGUGAAGUGUUCAACAUAUACCUGCCAAAAAGCUUAUGAGGAUAUGGGCUCGUAAAGGGAUGUAAGCAGCAACAACCAGACGUGCAGCAACAACGACACGGGCUACACAGUGUUCUGGGAAAGACUGAAGGCAGGAGGUGAAGGGGACAUCGGAGGAUGCGACGGUCGGAUGGCACCACUGACUCAAUGGACAUGAGUUUGAGCAACCUCUGGGAGUUGGUGAUGGACAGGGAAGCCUGGCGUGCUGCAAUCCAUGGGGUUGCAAAGAGUCAGACACAACUGAGCAACUGAACUGAACACAGUAUUCUUAAAAGCUUAAUCAGUUGUUGACACUCAACAACCAGGGUACUGUACAUAAAUGUUUGGCUCCAGUGUGACCACACUGGGUCCACAUUUCCAGUAACUGGCAGAAAUUAGCAAUUAGCCAGUUGCUGGAGGUGGGGUCUGUGCCCUCCUGCUCCUCACAGCCCCCACCCUACUCUUUUAUAUUGUGGCUAACUAGCUUCUCUCCAUUUACAAUUUCUGCUGGCUGUUUGGACUGGAAGAUCUUUAAGGGCCUUUCAGUUCACAUCUUCUCUGACCAUGGCUUAUCUCUUUAGGGGCUUCGGAUGCUGAACAAGAGGUUGGAUGAAGUGAAGAGUGUGGUGAAGAAGCAAUAACAGAACGAGGAUGAGAGUUGUCUGAAGUGUUUGGAGACAAAGGGCCAGAGUCUAGUUCAACCUGGUGAUAUACCCAGUGGAGCUCUAGAUGGGAUGUGAUACUUGGUCAAAGUUGGGGAGAAACUAAGAGGUUUUAUUGAGACCAAGGGUUCAGAAUGGAAGAUAGACGAACUGGGGAAAAGCCAGGUGUCGGCUGAGCUGGCCAAGUGCCUGGAACCGAAGCUGUGACUGUGAUCAGUCACAGUGAUGGGGUCACAGUGGAGAGCAGUUUUGGCUUGUAGCCAGGAAGUGGAUCCUGGAGAGAAAAAGGAAAGAGGAAACAAAAUAAUGAAGGUGUAGUGGAAAGAGCACUGAGCAAGGAAUCAAAGGAUGGGAUUUCUAGUUCCAGAUCUACCAUUUACUAAUCAUGUGAUUGUGGGCAUAUUACUCCACGUCCCUGAACCUGUUUCCUCAACUUCGAAAUAGAGAUGAUAAUACUAGCCGUGCCUAUCUCAGGGUUAUAGAAAGCUUAACUGUCAUACCAUAGAGCCAAGCACUUAGCAGCUGGGGAAGCACUAUCCCAAUGUGAGAUGGAAUUCAGAAGGUAUAACGUAGUCUUAGAAUGUCAGGGCUAAAAAAAAUAAAAAAAAUAAAAGAAUGUCAGGGCUAAAGAGCCAUGUGAACAUCUGCAACCCUCUCAUUUCACCUAUGAAGAAUUUGAGGCCCAGAGGAGAAAUUUCACAGCAAGAGGAGGGCAGAGGUAGGCACAUUGCUCCAUUAGUUUCAGAGUAGAACCGCCUUUGUGCUCCCUCUAGGUGUAGGUAAAUGAAACUCACCAAAGGAAGAGAGCUAGCUAGGGGACUUUGGGUUCAAGGGAUACCCCAAAAGGAUGUGUUUCAUCCUAUGUACUCCAAAGUGACAGGCCUGGAGUUCCCUGGUGGUGCAGUGGAUAAGAAUCCGCCUGCUAAUGCAGGGGCCACGGGUUCCAUCCCUGGUCUAAGAAGAGUCCGCAUGCUGCAGAGCAACUAUGCCCAUGCGUCAUAAUUACUGAAGCCCACGUGGCUAAAGUCUGUGCUCCACAACAAGAGAAGCCACUGCAAUGAGAAUCCUGCGCUCCACAACUAAAAGUAGCCCCAGCUCCCAGCAACUAGAGAAAACUCACGCAAAGCAACAAAGACCCAGUGCAGCCAAAAAAAAAAAAAGGAUAAGCUCUUGUAAUUUCUCUGGAGGUCACAGGAACCAGGAAAUACUUACCGAACCUUGAAAGAAGUAGUCUUCUUUCAUACUUCUUUCAAGGGAGAGGAAGUCCCACCCAGCGCAUUACCCAGCACGUAAGUGAGGGAGGUCACAGAAGGGAGAGGUGAGACCAUCUUGUUCUAGUUCCCCUGAUAGAGAUGAGGAACCUGAGGCAUAGGGAUGGGAAAUGACUUGCCCAAGGCCAUACGACCUGUUCCUGGCAGAGCUGGGACUGUAAUGGGGUUUCUCAAUUUGGAGCCUAGUUCUUUUACUUCGUGUACUAUUUGGGAUUGCAUUUCACUGCAAAUGGUAGAGACCAGUGGUGGCUUGCACCAAUGGAUAUUUGUUGCUAAUGAUGGCUUUAGAAGAUAGCGGUUACUUUUCUCAUUUUCUAAAAAGUCUGGAGGUGGGCAGUCAAAGAUUAGCGUAGCUGCUGGAAGAUGUUAAGGACCUAGUCUCCUCUUAUCUUCUUUUUUGGUUUCUCUUUUUCUUUUUUUCCCUUUCCUUUUAUCUUCUUAUUUUCACCCUCAGCCCAUAGCUUUUGUCCUUAUUUUCUUGAGAUGGCUGCUUUUCCUCUAGGCAUUGUGUCCAUAUUCUGGACAGGUGGAAGAAAUGAAGCUGAAUUUGUCUUUUCAUAAAGGCUUACCUGAAGGCUCCAUAUCAUAUAUAUAUAUAUAUAAUAUUUAUAUAAAAUACUCUAUGUUAUGUAUUAACAUGUUGUAUUAUAUUUAAGAUGUAAUACAGUAAGUCCCUUACAUAUAUACAUAAUAUAUAUAUAUACAUAAUAUACAUAUAUACAUAAUGUCACACACACAUUAUGUGUGUGAAUGAACAUUCGAA
RNAcentral lists this long non-coding RNA (3529 nucleotides) under Bos grunniens (domestic yak). Its description in RNAcentral is "lncRNA (ENSBGRG00000019560.1)". The record is from RNAcentral. Lineage: Eukaryota; Metazoa; Chordata; Mammalia; Artiodactyla; Bovidae.